Mustela lutreola (European mink) is the source of this 3572-nucleotide long non-coding RNA. RefSeq lists it as uncharacterized. The record is from RefSeq and is a predicted model, not a curated record. Lineage: Eukaryota; Metazoa; Chordata; Mammalia; Carnivora; Mustelidae. The transcript is spliced from 2 exons.
GUCUAGCCUGCCACCUAAAUGGGUCUGCUGUCCUGUAAAAUGCAUUUUAAAAUACACAUACACCUCAAUUAAAACUGGUCUUGAAAGUAUUUGUACGCAGUACAGAAUGUUUCCAGAAUUGCUACUGCGUAUUAAAGAUGAGAAGCUCAAAGUGAAUCUGAAAUGCUAAGCAAAAAAAAGAGAAGUACAAUAUUGAUAUUAAUUUCCCCCUGGAAUUUGUAAAAAGAAAAAAAGCCUCCCACAUUUUCUGCUUUUAAAAUUCUGACAUUUUAAGCAACAGAGUCUUGCUUUAGAAUAAAAACAAUUUAGGAUCACUUUCACUUGUGCUGUUUGUCAGCUAGUUGACUUUUCACUUGAUGGUCCUAAGUCACGCCCCCAUCCCAACCCCCACCCCUGUCCAGUACACAUUGAGAGUUUGGGUUCCCAGUAGUUGUACAGACUGCAUAUCCUGAGCUCGUGAACAUUUUUAAGCAAGCAGAGAGGCAUCUUUCAAAUUCCUCAUCUAUGUUGAUGAGUCCGUACCUAGAAUUUACUUUUCAAGGUUUUUUUUUUUUUUUUUUUUUAAGAUUUUAUUUAUUCAUUUGACAGAGAUCACAAGCAGGCACAGAGAGAGGGGGAAGCAGGCUCCCCGCUGAGCAGAGAGCCCGAUGCCGGGCUCAAUCUCAGGACCCUGGGAUCAUGACCUGAGCCGAAGGCAGAGGCUUUAACCCACUGAGCCACCCAGGCACCCCUACUUUUCAAGGUUUUAUGACGCAGGAGGAAGGAGACGCACUGAUGCUGUCAUCAGACCUCUCCUGCAGCCUCCGCCCUCUCCCGGUGUCCAGGUGCCCAGGCUGCGCACUCUGCAGAGGCUGCCGCAGGAAACCCCCCCCGGACGUGCGGGUCCUGGAGACUGGCCAUCCUUUCUGCACCGUUUUGCUCUCUCUGACACCUAGGACCGCACCGACCGCUCAGCAGGAUCCUCCCCCGGCUCCCGCUGAAAAGUCACCCCCGGGAAUGGCUGUGGGACCAGGGCUCUGUGGCUUCUGAUUGACAGCUGUUGUGCGUUGUUUCUGGGUGGAGAGUUCCCAGGAAAUUGGGCCUCCCCUGCCAGCAGGUAGGAUGAGGGUGUGCGGACCGCCGGCGAGGACCGGGAGAACCGGAGGACCCAAGCAGUAGAUUCCUUUAGCUCAGCUUGCUCUUACCCCAUUACAUAGACAGCGGCCAACGUCAGGAGACCAGCGGCUCUGGGUGAAGGGACCUCACCAGCCCCUGGGACACGAUGGUGGUGACACAUACCUUAGCAGCUUCCGGUUUCAUCUUAGGGACAUGGUCAAAGAUGAGCUGGGCCCAGAGGGGCCUCGGUUGGGGUUGGGCAACCGCAGCUUGCGGCUGGGCCUCGGGAGUGGGAAGAGCUGAGUAAGGCUUCCCGGGAAGGCAAGUCCCCAAACCUUAUCAGUGAGCGGCGUCCCUCCACCCCCGCCCCCAGGCCUGCUUUCCGUGUGCUGGGGCUCUUCCUAGGCUCCCCCGGGCUCUCUCAUGACGCUGACACGAAUUAAGUUGAAUGGCUUUGAGUUGCAUUGGACUGAGCUGAAUUGGACUGAAAGGCCUUACAGCCAAGUGUGCCUCUUGCUGAAUGCCAGGCCCUGGGGAACUGCAGGCUCGUGGUACGGUCCCGUCCACACCCGCGGGGGCCUCUAUAGCGAUAAGACUCCAGACUCGUGGCAAGAAUAUGGGAUGAGAAGGGGCAGGGAGGGCCUGGGAGGCUCCAAGAGAACACGCUCUUUGGGCUGAGCUUUCAAGGACGGAGUGGGAGCUUUGGAGAGAAGAAUAUGAAGGCAAGAAGGACGGAACAGACCGGGGGGAGCCACGCAGAGGGUGUUUGGGGAACAGAGGGGAGAUGGCAGAGAAGCCGAUGACAGCGGUUCCCCUGAGAGAUGAUACCGACAUGCACGCGCAUAGACAGAGUCACCCAGAGAAGAUGCCUCACGACCGCCCAGAACAUCCCCCACACCUAAAGCAGAAUCCCAGGAAGUUAGCCCAGGAAUCUGCAUUUUAAAACGAGCACUACAAGCGAAAUCCGUGUUGGAGACUCACGGUCAGGGUCUGGGGGUGAGCCUCUGCUAGGUGACCAGUUCUGGUGUCAAGUAGGUAACUGUCACCCUUGGAGCAGGUCAGAAACAGACAGCUGGCCCCAGCCUGAGGGGACCUGGGUAUUUGCCUUGUUGGGCAUAUGUACCCAGGUGGGGGAUGGGGUGCUGCUGGACAGCCAGUCAGAGGAAGACCCUGCUGACAUGAGUUCCAAGAAUUCAGCCCACGGGUCCUUCUGAGGCUCCAGUCCUAAGAUUUGAAGCAUUCACAUUUGAUCAGCUGCGUCGUUGUCAUCUUUUUUUUUUUUUUUUUUUAAAGAUUCGUUGAUUAGAGAGAGGGAGGGAGUCCCAAGCAGACUCCUCAACGAAGCAUGGAGCCCGACGCUGGGCUCUAGCUCAUGACCCUGAGAUCAUGACCCGAGUCGAAACAAAGAGUCAGGAGCUCAACGAGACUGCACCACCCAGGCGCCCCGAAAACCUUAUUUAAAUGAACUAAGGGUCCCACCCACUCGGAAGAGAACUCAAGUCACAGGCAUCUAGUCCUAGGCCGUGGGAACCCUUUGCUUUUCCAAACAAAAAGAAACACAAAAAAGCAAGACACUUUUCUUGUGUCUCCAAAUUCUAGAAAGAUACGUGUAAUGAGAGGUGAGGGAAAGACACUGAGACCGCGGCCGACCGAGCUUGGCACCGCAGGAGCCCAGCAAACAGGCCCACGUGGCCCAGAACUCACGGGGCCCAGUCUUGGGAACGCGGGCCUUGUGCUCUCCUGAACAUCAAGGGAACGCUUCUCCCAGGAAUGCUGGUGGGAAUCCCUCAUGCUUCUGGGGAGCUUCCCCCGUGCCUGACCCUCUGCUGCCUGCUUCGCAAGCAGGAGCGCCUCCGCGCCAUGUUCUUCCCUCUCCCGGGACCCUAUCACGACCCGCAUGUCGGUGGUGUCAGACACACACAGAAAAGCAAUCAAGGGCAGCAUACUGGCCUCCUCAGGUGGCCACCACAAAUACCACAGCCCGGGUGGCUUCAGUGACAGAAGUUUAUCUGCUCACGGCUCUGGAGGCUGGACGUCCGAGAUCAGCCAUCAAGGUUGGUUUGUCCCAAGGCUUCUCUCCUUGGCUUGCGGAUGAUCACCUUCUCCCUGGGUCCUCGAGAGGCCUAUCCCUCCCGUCUGAGUGUCCAAAUUUCCUCUUCGGGUAAGGACACCGGUCAGAUUGGAUUAGGAACCCACUUAGGGCCUCAUUUUAUUCUUCGAAGGCCCCGUCACCAUAGGCAGUCACGGGCUGAGGUACGAGGGGGACAUGACUGAACGAGCGAAUCUGAGGGACACAAUUCAGCUCACAGCAGGCCGGAUUUCCUUUACUAUAAUCUUGCAUAUACGUGUGUGUGUGUGUGUGUGUGGUUAAGAGCUUUGAAUGACGUAAGAAGCUCCAUUCGUCAAGCUUAAGCUGUCCUUUACCUCACAACGCAGCUUAUCGUCAGAUAAAUGUUAUAUUUGCAGCCUCCUGAAAA